GGUGCUUGCAUCAUGAUUUACAUUUGAGUGAGUGGCGAACUGGUGAGUAACACGUGGGAAACCUGCCCAGAAGCGGGGGAUAACACCUGGAAACAGAUGCUAAUACCGCAUAACAACUUGGACCGCAUGGUCCGAGUUUGAAAGAUGGCUUCGGCUAUCACUUUUGGAUGGUCCCGCGGCGUAUUAGCUAGAUGGUGGGGUAACGGCUCACCAUGGCAAUGAUACGUAGCCGACCUGAGAGGGUAAUCGGCCACAUUGGGACUGAGACACGGCCCAAACUCCUACGGGAGGCAGCAGUAGGGAAUCUUCCACAAUGGACGAAAGUCUGAUGGAGCAACGCCGCGUGAGUGAAGAAGGGUUUCGGCUCGUAAAACUCUGUUGUUAAAGAAGAACAUAUCUGAGAGUAACUGUUCAGGUAUUGACGGUAUUUAACCAGAAAGCCACGGCUAACUACGUGCCAGCAGCCGCGGUAAUACGUAGGUGGCAAGCGUUGUCCGGAUUUAUUGGGCGUAAAGCGAGCGCAGGCGGUUUUUUAAGUCUGAUGUGAAAGCCUUCGGCUCAACCGAAGAAGUGCAUCGGAAACUGGGAAACUUGAGUGCAGAAGAGGACAGUGGAACUCCAUGUGUAGCGGUGAAAUGCGUAGAUAUAUGGAAGAACACCAGUGGCGAAGGCGGCUGUCUGGUCUGUAACUGACGCUGAGGCUCGAAAGUAUGGGUAGCAAACAGGAUUAGAUACCCUGGUAGUCCAUACCGUAAACGAUGAAUGCUAAGUGUUGGAGGGUUUCCGCCCUUCAGUGCUGCAGCUAACGCAUUAAGCAUUCCGCCUGGGGAGUACGGCCGCAAGGCUGAAACUCAAAGGAAUUGACGGGGGCCCGCACAAGCGGUGGAGCAUGUGGUUUAAUUCGAAGCUACGCGAAGAACCUUACCAGGUCUUGACAUACUAUGCAAAUCUAAGAGAUUAGACGUUCCCUUCGGGGACAUGGAUACAGGUGGUGCAUGGUUGUCGUCAGCUCGUGUCGUGAGAUGUUGGGUUAAGUCCCGCAACGAGCGCAACCCUUAUUAUCAGUUGCCAGCAUUAAGUUGGGCACUCUGGUGAGACUGCCGGUGACAAACCGGAGGAAGGUGGGGAUGACGUCAAAUCAUCAUGCCCCUUAUGACCUGGGCUACACACGUGCUACAAUGGAUGGUACAACGAGUUGCGAACUCGCGAGAGUAAGCUAAUCUCUUAAAGCCAUUCUCAGUUCGGAUUGUAGGCUGCAACUCGCCUACAUGAAGUCGGAAUCGCUAGUAAUCGCGGAUCAGCAUGCCGCGGUGAAUACGUUCCCGGGCCUUGUACACACCGCCCGUCACACCAUGAGA
This 1358-nucleotide ribosomal RNA is filed under the name Lactiplantibacillus pentosus. Its description in RNAcentral is "bacterial SSU rRNA". It matches the Rfam family "Bacterial small subunit ribosomal RNA", at positions 64 to 1409 of the family's 1533-position model. The record is from RNAcentral. Lineage: Bacteria; Bacillati; Bacillota; Bacilli; Lactobacillales; Lactobacillaceae.